GCCUGGGGGGCUUAGUCAGUUAAGCAUCUGACUUCGACUCAGGUCAUGAUCUCACAGUUCGUGGGUUCAAGGCCCACUUCGGGCU
This 85-nucleotide transfer RNA is filed under the name Felis catus (domestic cat). It matches the Rfam family "tRNA". From Rfam's summary of the family: Transfer RNA (tRNA) molecules are approximately 80 nucleotides in length. The record is from Rfam by way of RNAcentral. Lineage: Eukaryota; Metazoa; Chordata; Mammalia; Carnivora; Felidae.